GGAGAAACCUCACGCAUGCACAGGGAGAACAUGCAAACUCCGUGCAGAAAGAAUCAAACCCAGGACCUUCUUGCUGCAAGGCAACAGUGCUACCAACUGCACCACUGUGCUGCACUCAUAACAUAAUAUAUUCCACAUGUAAACCUGUUCUCUGCUGGCCACUACAUAACAUACCUCAGAGUAAUGAUGAUGUCAACCACUUAAUAACAUUAUGUGCAGAAUAUUGAUCAAAUUACACCCACAUUAGUCUAGGUCACAACAUGUCAACUCUUUGUUUCUUACUUAACAAUAUCAGUAUCAAUGCAAGUUUAACCCUCCCCCCCCCCCAUCUCUCUAGAGAAGAAAGUUAUCCAGCCUAACAGGUAAUCGCGUAAUCUAGUAAUUGAGAUUUUUCAUAACACCCUUUUGACAUAAAAAGUGUAUUUUUCACUAAAAGAAAUUAUUUACAUGUGUGGAAAGCUUAAAGUUGAGAUUUGAGCUUAAAAUUGGUCUUCAUAAUUUGACAUGGCUUCUUGAAAUAUAUUUCAAUGCUAUUCUAGGUGAACUUUGACAACUAUGAAGCAGUUCUAUCAUUUGUGCUGGUAAACAACAACCACUGGAAGUUGCUGAUUAGUGGUUUUUCCUCACAUGAAAUGAAUAUGUAUAUUUUUGACUUAAUUACAGCCGACCAUAUUAACAUGUUUCUACAACAUCGUUUCUUAUUAUGUUACUUUUCCUUUUUGGCCACUUUCAGUACAUCAAUGCAAAAGCCAGCACAGUAUUCCUUAUUGAUCCUGCACAACUCUCAUCAGAGCUUGAGGACUCCAAAAAUGCAUCUAAAAGAAUACAGGAAUAGUUCAAGAUGAGAAGGACAUGCCAUGGGAAAACAGACUGUGUUGGGAUCAAGUGGAAAGGGGGGGCUAUGAGCCACCCUAUUCAACAAGAUGGAAACCGCUGUGGAGUCAUUGUAGUCAAAGUACAUUGAGGAGUUAGUGUUUUGUGUUGUGCAAGUAUGGAAGGUGUGACAUUGAAAAUAACAUUAUUAUCACAGGAAAAUGUAAUUUACAAUCAAAUAACAGUUUUCAGGCUGGAUUGCAUGUAUUUUCUACAUUUUGGUAAGUUUUAAGUCAUUAUUGCCCAAGAGAUCCUUUUGGGGAAUAUAAUGAGUGUCCAUAUGUAACUGUUAGGGUCUGUUGCAUUAUCAUGUCCUGAAAGACAGUGUUCUUUUUUAAAUGGCGAAAGCACUGAUGGAAGCCUUUCCAGUUAUGCCAAAUGUGGAAUUUGACUCAAGCAAAGAAGCAAUGAAAGAUGAAAGAAGACAUCUGGCUCUUCAAAUCCUUGAAGCAUCAGAUCCAGUGUGACAACUGUGACAGAUGGUUCCACGCCUUGUGCCUGGACAUAAAUGGUAUGAAAAUGUGAAAAAAGCCAGCUGGAAAUGCCCAUUGUGCAACUAAUAUGCUAACAUUAUACUCGGUUCAAUAUCGUUGUAAAGAAAUAUUUUUAAUUUAUAUGUAGAAAAUAAAACAGUACUUUGUUUCUAAAGAA
Long non-coding RNA from Girardinichthys multiradiatus, 1524 nucleotides. RefSeq lists it as uncharacterized. Lineage: Eukaryota; Metazoa; Chordata; Actinopteri; Cyprinodontiformes; Goodeidae. The transcript is spliced from 3 exons. The record is from RefSeq and is a predicted model, not a curated record.